RNAcentral lists this ribosomal RNA (1053 nucleotides) under Bolivina sp. JPM99. Its description in RNAcentral is "SSU rRNA". It matches the Rfam family "Eukaryotic small subunit ribosomal RNA", at positions 1160 to 1828 of the family's 1831-position model. The record is from RNAcentral. Lineage: Eukaryota; Foraminifera; Rotaliida; Bolivinitidae.
AAGGGCACCACAAGAACGCGUGGAGCAUGUGGCUUAAUUUGACUCAACGCGGGAAAUCUUACCGGGUCCGGACACACUGAGGAUUGACAGGUAACAUCUCGGCGUAUGUUCGCAUACGUCGAGUAUAAAUAUGCUAGUCCUUUCAUGAUUAUGUGAUAGGUGGUGCAUGGCCGUUCUUAGUUCGUGGAGUGAUCUGUCUGCUUAAUUGCGUAUCACUAUUGGAUCCAUCAUACAUGCAUUCGUUGCGGCAUUGACCCCGUGGAUAUUCACUUAUUCAUGCGCGCGUCUUUCGCUUAGCUCGUUGCAUAUUGGAUCCUGAUAGCAACGAACGUGACCGCAACCUCUUGUUGCUUUCAUACCCAAGCGCUGCAUAUAUAUUUAUUUAUAUAUGCUUCGCUAAGAAAGCUUACACUAUACAAACUAGAGGGACCGCUGUUACUUUCUUAAACCAGAGGAAGGUUGCGGCAAUAACAGGUCUGUGAUGCCCUUAGAUGUUCCGGGCUGCACACGUGCUACAAUGAUUAUUGCAGUGAGCAUCUCAUUUUUCUACUACAUCGCAUGCGCGAGUCUAUUUAUUCAUGUUCGCAUGUUUAAAUACGGUCUCUGCGCGCGAUAAAGCCUACUUCGAAAGUAAGCGGGUAAUCAAUUAGAAGUAAUGAUUUCCUACUCUUAGCAGUACUUGCACACAUAUAUGCGGCGUAUUUACCCGGCCAACCUUGUUGUUGGUUUUUGUGCGUAGAUAUGUUCUUUUCCGCAUGUGCAAUUGUCAAUUCAUGGUGGGGACAGACCAUUGUUUCAAUUGUUGGUCUCGGUCUUAACUAGGAAUGCCUUGUACGGGUCUUUGGUUCAACAAACCACCCGGAAUACGUCCCUGCCCUUUGUACACACCGCCCGUCGCUCUUACCGAUGGACUUCUCUGUGAGUUUGAGGGACUGCUCGCGGCUGAUAUGUAUUUCGAUACACAUCCCGCCUUAGGAAACUUAAACGAACAGUGUGGUCUAAAGGAAAGAGAAGUCGUAACAAGGCAUCAGUAGGUGAACUGCAGAAGGAUCA